GAGGGGGUCGCGGCCGAUUGGUUAGUUGGCAGGGUAAUGGCCUACCAAGACGAUGAUCGGUAUCCGGCCUGAGAGGGCGCACGGACACACUGGAACUGAAACACGGUCCAGACUCCUACGGGAGGCAGCAGUGGGGAAUUUUGCGCAAUGGGGGAAACCCUGACGCAGCAACGCCGCGUGGAGGAUGAAGUCCUUCGGGACGUAAACUCCUUUCGAUCGGGACGAUUAUGACGGUACCGGAAGAAGAAGCCCCGGCUAACUUCGUGCCAGCAGCCGCGGUAAUACGAGGGGGGCGAGCGUUGUUCGGAAUUAUUGGGCGUAAAGGGUGCGUAGGCGGUUUGGUAAGUCUGAUGUGAAAUCUAUGGGCUCAACUCAUAGUCUGCAUCGGAAACUGCCGGGCUUGAGUGUGGGAGAGGUGAGUGGAAUUCCUGGUGUAGCGGUGAAAUGCGCAGAUAUCAGGAAGAACACCCGUGGCGAAGGCGGCUCUCUGGGACGGUACUGACGCUGAGACGCGAAAGCGUGGGGAGCGAACAGGAUUAGAUACCCUGGUAGUCCACGCCGUAAACGAUGGGUGCUAGGUGU
Molecule: ribosomal RNA, 582 nt
Filed under: uncultured bacterium
Lineage: Bacteria
Description: bacterial SSU rRNA
Rfam family: Bacterial small subunit ribosomal RNA
Source: RNAcentral